GACGAACGCUGGCGGCGUGCCUAAUACAUGCAAGUCGAACGCAGUGGGGACGGGUGAGUAACACGUGGGUAACCUCCCAUCAGAGGGGAUAACACUUGGAAACAGGUGCUAAACCGAUACUGAUGGAUGGACCCGCGGUGCAUUAGCUAGUUGGUGAGGUAACGGCUCACCAAGGCCACGAUGCAUAGCCGGCAUUAGAGGGGGGUCGGCCAAAGUGGGACUGAGAACAGGCCCAAAAUCCGAAGGGAGGCAGAAGUGGGGAAUAUUCGGCAAUGGGCGAAAGUCUGACCGAGCCAAGCCGCGUGAGUGAAGAAGGUUUUCGGGUCGUAAAAUUCUUUUGGUAGGGAAGAGGUAUCCAAACAAAAAGCCCCGGCGAACUACGUGCCAGCAGGCGCGGUAAUUC
This 403-nucleotide ribosomal RNA is filed under the name uncultured bacterium. Its description in RNAcentral is "partial 16S ribosomal RNA". It matches the Rfam family "Bacterial small subunit ribosomal RNA", at positions 28 to 526 of the family's 1533-position model. The record is from RNAcentral.